GAUGAACGCUGGCGGCGUGCCUAAUACAUGCAAGUCGAACGAAUAGCUAAAGGUGUUUGUCCUUUUACGGUGAGUGCCGACGGGGUGAGUACACCGUGGACACCUUGCUAUAAGGCUGGGGUUAACACUUGAAAACAGAUGCAAAUACCGAAUAUAUCUUAGUGCCCAUUGUUCAAUAGUUAAAAGCCGCUUUGCUGUCACUUAGAGAUGGAUCCGCGGUGCAUUAGCUAGUUGGUGAGGUAAAGGCCUACCAAGGCAACGAUGCAUAGCCGAGCUGAGAGACUGAUCGGCCACACUGGAACUGAGACACGGUCCAGACUCCUACGGGAGGCAGCAGUAGGGAAUCUUCCGCAAUGGGCGAAAGCCUGACGGAGCAACGCCGCGUGAGUGAUGAAGGCCUUCGGAUCGUAAAACUCUGUUGUAAGGGAAGAACAGAUAUGUAAGGAAAUGUGUUCGGUUUGACGGUACCAUACCAGAAAGCGACGGCUAAAUACGUG
RNAcentral lists this ribosomal RNA (497 nucleotides) under uncultured bacterium. RNAcentral's name for it is "partial 16S ribosomal RNA". It matches the Rfam family "Bacterial small subunit ribosomal RNA", at positions 28 to 507 of the family's 1533-position model. The record is from RNAcentral.